CCCGAGUACACAUUUGCAAAACAAAGCAAAGAGGAAGCGGAACCGAAAUCCGCAUUGACGUCACAAAAUAAUUUAUGUGUUCUGACCAUAGGUUCUGACGCAAGACUAAUAAGAAAGGUCUCAUCGUGACGAUGCUUUUGGUAAAACGGACGCCAUAUAUAUUUGUCAACGCGUAUCAUCCCUUGAAUCACGUCUCAGAUGAUAAUGCGCACACGUGCGGCUCGACAUUGACGGGCACAGCCACUGAGAGUAUACGUAUAUUGAGAGAGAGAAUUCAAUGUUAUAUAACAAUUAUUGAGAGGAUGAACGCGAUGUGAAAUAAAAAAAUAAAUUUGAAAAACCGACUGCAUACUGUACUAAUUUGAGAAGUAAUGUUGUUGACUUUAUUCUUCAGCGAAUUGGUGAACUCCUGUACUCGGCUGUGAAUCGAAAUCUGACUGUGAUGGUCUUAGACUCUUAGCACGACUGCAAUUGUGGUUAUCGCCGUCCUCGUUCCAAUCGUGAAUCGGUUUCGUAUGCAUUGUGUUGUACUGCAUCUACAUUUGUUGAUACGAUGGAACGUCUGGAGGCAGUGGGUACUGGGGAGGUUACGUCGACGAUUUUGGGAAGGAGGGGGCGAUUGGGUACAGGGAAGGCGAUUGUGGGGUGGGGGUGGCGAUUGCGGGGGAGAUUUUGAUGGUGGGGACUAGGCUUAGACACAAGAUGAUGACACUUAGAUGCUCGGCAACUUUUCGUCAACUUUUGACAUUUUGGGCAACUUUUGACUGCUUCGGGCAACGUUUGUAAUUUUUAUCCUUUUCUGGCUGGGUUUUGUCUUUUUUAGCAGUUAUUUUUAGUUCUAGUAAUUCAAGGUCGAGAUCUUGUGUCUAAUCCCAGAGGGGACGGAGAUGGUAAGGGACAUUAUGGUCAUAUGACUCAUAUCCCGAUAUUUCACACAACCUACUGCAAUGGGUCCACUGAGUCAGUGAAUGGGUCAAUAUUGACACAUUUAUAAGAGAAAUGUAAACUGAGUAUACUCAAAGCUCGAGUCUUGGAUGCAUCUGGGAUGUCACAGUUAUAUCUCAAAUCCUUGAUAUAACCACAGAUUGGAGAACAUAUAAACAAUGAAAACGUAUACUAUUUUAAGACUUAAAGCUCUAAACUUUGAGUGGACUUUUCAAUAUCGGUGGAUACUUUUAUAUUAUAAUUUCAAUACAUCGACAUGCAUUAAGCAACGACGAUGUACGACAAUAAAUAGACAACUUGCAUGUUAGACUAAUUUUUGAUUUAGACAAAAAAAGUAAUAAAUUUAGUAUACGUGGUGUUUCCACAAACAAAACUAUUAUAUUUUUUCGCCAUGCAAACAUACAAAGAACUUAAAAAAAGUAAAUUCCCGUAAAGAACUUAUCAAAAUCAGUAAAAUUGCAAAAUUUGGUUACGAAAUGUUGUAAAAUACAGAAAAUAUAGCCUUGCGAAGUUUGCAUAUUUUCAGUAUGUUUGUAUUACGUGCGGAAAUUGUUGCCUUUUCGAGCCGAAAAUGGUAACAAUUUCCGCACGUAAUACAAAUAUACUGAAAAAUGCAAACUUCGCAAGGCUAUGUUUUCUGUUUUUUACAACAUUUCGCAACCAAAUUUUACAAUUUACUAAUUUCAUUACGUUCUUUUUACCUGUUGUGUUUGAUUCCCUUCUCUUUACUUAGAUUAAAAUUUAGUCUAAUAUGCAAGUUGUCCAUUGACAGCCGUUGACAGCUAUCAGAAUCAGAUGAAAUUGUUGAUUAUGUAUUUAAAUCAAAUAUGCAUGUACGCUGGCCUCUAUUGUAGAUAUCUACGAUUGUAUUACACAAAGUAUUCCGCAAAACAAUACAAAAGCUAUAUUCCAUAUUUUUAUACAGAUUAAGGUCAAUGAAUUGAUAACUACCAGAAUGAGAAAAAUAGGUACGCACUGCCAUGCUUUCUGGCAUCCUUGUGUAGAAAAGUAGGACAAAAGUAGGACUAGAAUUUUAGGAAAAGUAGGAAUAAAGCAGGAAAAUGUGUAGAAACG
RNAcentral lists this long non-coding RNA (2019 nucleotides) under Paramuricea clavata. Lineage: Eukaryota; Metazoa; Cnidaria; Anthozoa; Malacalcyonacea; Plexauridae. The record is from RNAcentral.